RNAcentral lists this ribosomal RNA (515 nucleotides) under uncultured bacterium. RNAcentral describes it as "partial 16S ribosomal RNA". It matches the Rfam family "Bacterial small subunit ribosomal RNA", at positions 28 to 523 of the family's 1533-position model. The record is from RNAcentral.
GAUGCACGCUGGCGGCGUGCCUAAUACAUGCAAGUCGAGCGAAUGGAUUAAGAGCUUGCUCUUAUGAAGUUAGCGGCGGACGGGUGAGUAACACGUGGGUAACCUGCCCAUAAGACUGGGAUAACUCCGGGAAACCGGGGCUAAUACCGGAUAACAUUUUGAACCGCAUGGUUCGAAAUUGAAAGGCGGCUUCGGCUGUCACUUAUGGAUGGACCCGCGUCGCAUUAGCUAGUUGGUGAGGUAACGGCUCACCAAGGCAACGAUGCGUAGCCGACCUGAGAGGGUGAUCGGCCACACUGGGACUGAGACACGGCCCAGACUCCUACGGGAGGCAGCAGUAGGGAAUCUUCCGCAAUGGACGAAAGUCUGACGGAGCAACGCCGCGUGAGUGAUGAAGGCUUUCGGGUCGUAAAACUCUGUUGUUAGGGAAGAACAAGUGCUAGUUGAAUAAGCUGGCACCUUGGCGGUACCUAACCAGAAAGCCACGGCUAACUACGUGCCAGCAGCCGCAGUAA